Molecule: non-coding RNA, 859 nt
Organism: Tetranychus urticae (two-spotted spider mite)
Lineage: Eukaryota; Metazoa; Arthropoda; Arachnida; Trombidiformes; Tetranychidae
Source: RefSeq, a predicted model, not a curated record
GGACAAUGUUGAUUCUAGGGAAGAAGCUCCAAGAGAGUUCAAAGGCUUUAGGACUAGAGAUUCACGUUUCUCCAUUGUUGGUUAAAUAAUCGGUCAGUUAAUUAAGUUGAACAAAUGCCAGGUUACGGUUUUCACUUUGGUUUAAGGUCUAUACACAAGUAAUGUUAUUAAAGCUAGAAGAGAUGAUUGGUUAAAGCAUGUCCAUGUUAAAGCUGUUAACAAGUGAAACCACGAUGAGGCCAAUACACCAUCAGCUUGUGAUUGCUCGAAAGGAGAAAAAGGAUCCUGAAGUCAACCAGAUCGCGAUUCCUACUUGAAGUCAACGACUCACUAUGAAGAUGAUAUCGAUUGAUCUUCCAUGUAUCUUCCUUGUUUCCAUACAACAUUGGGCCCAGCAAUAUAUUUCAAUUUCAAGGAAAAGGCCACAUGAAAAAUAUAUUUCAAGUCGACCUUUCACGAUCUUUCUAUCUAAUUUCCUCGAUUAUCCUAUUGAUUUGACCAAUUUGUCAAAGUGUUUACAAUUUUAUCCUUUGUAGUUACAUAGACUUGCUUUUGUGAAAAUGAAAACUAUUCAUUUCACAGCUAUUUUUAGACAAACAUCAAGAAUCUAUCUGGAAAUUUAUGUAAUAAUCAAUUUAGGUUUAAAAUAUUGAUCAGUUUUUUUUCAGAUUUCAAUCUAUUCAAUGCAAUUCAAUUUUCCUAACGUGUCUUAUUUCUGUGGGAAUCAUGAUCAAUGACUUUGUUUGUCGUACAUUUCAAUUUGACAAAAACAGAUUUAGCAAUCUUUUGAGUCUGUUUAUGAAAUAAUAUCCAAUUAUACCGAUUAAUAAAUAUUAAUUUAGUUAUUGGCCUUCUGCAA